Molecule: ribosomal RNA, 703 nt
Filed under: Bacillus velezensis
Lineage: Bacteria; Bacillati; Bacillota; Bacilli; Caryophanales; Bacillaceae
Description: bacterial SSU rRNA
Rfam family: Bacterial small subunit ribosomal RNA
Source: RNAcentral
GGAAACUGGGGAACUUGAGUGCAGAAGAGGAGAGUGGAAUUCCACGUGUAGCGGUGAAAUGCGUAGAGAUGUGGAGGAACACCAGUGGCGAAGGCGACUCUCUGGUCUGUAACUGACGCUGAGGAGCGAAAGCGUGGGGAGCGAACAGGAUUAGAUACCCUGGUAGUCCACGCCGUAAACGAUGAGUGCUAAGUGUUAGGGGGUUUCCGCCCCUUAGUGCUGCAGCUAACGCAUUAAGCACUCCGCCUGGGGAGUACGGUCGCAAGACUGAAACUCAAAGGAAUUGACGGGGGCCCGCACAAGCGGUGGAGCAUGUGGUUUAAUUCGAAGCAACGCGAAGAACCUUACCAGGUCUUGACAUCCUCUGACAAUCCUAGAGAUAGGACGUCCCCUUCGGGGGCAGAGUGACAGGUGGUGCAUGGUUGUCGUCAGCUCGUGUCGUGAGAUGUUGGGUUAAGUCCCGCAACGAGCGCAACCCUUGAUCUUAGUUGCCAGCAUUCAGUUNGGCACUCUAAGGUGACUGCCGGUGACAAACCGGAGGAAGGUGGGGAUGACGUCAAAUCAUCAUGCCCCUUAUGACCUGGGCUACACACGUGCUACAAUGGACAGAACAAAGGGCAGCGAAACCGCGAGGUUAAGCCAAUCCCACAAAUCUGUUCUCAGUUCGGAUCGCAGUCUGCAACUCGACUGCGUGAAGCUGGAA